Molecule: ribosomal RNA, 234 nt
Filed under: uncultured bacterium
Lineage: Bacteria
Description: partial 16S ribosomal RNA
Rfam family: Bacterial small subunit ribosomal RNA
Source: RNAcentral
UACGAAGGGGGGCUAGCGUUGCUCGGAAUUACUGGGCGUAAAGGGCGCGUAGGCGGACAGUUAAGUCAGAGGUGAAAGCCCAGGGCUCAACCCUGGAAUUGCCUUUGAUACUGGCUGUCUUGAGUGCGGGAGAGGUGUGUGGAACUCCGAGUGUAGAGGUGAAAUUCGUAGAUAUUCGGAAGAACACCAGUGGCGAAGGCGACACACUGGCCCGUAACUGACGCUGAGGCGCGA